Long non-coding RNA from Triticum dicoccoides, 1206 nucleotides. RefSeq lists it as uncharacterized. The record is from RefSeq and is a predicted model, not a curated record. The transcript is spliced from 6 exons. NCBI's taxonomy places the organism in Eukaryota, Viridiplantae, Streptophyta, Magnoliopsida, Poales, Poaceae.
GCGUGUGCAUCUCGAACUUGCAUUCAUCAAAAUCAAGGGUAGGAUCCUCCUUGAUCCAUGUCGGGUGCAUCCAGAAGCCGAGUGUCGGGCGCAACCCCGACGCUCUACGGAUUGACAGGCUGGCAAUCGGGUGGGCGCUGGACCUGACCCCUCGCCACGUCGCCGGGAGGACUCUUGGCUCACCAAAGUGGCGAAAGCACUGCCGAGGUAGCAAACGGGCGGCGAGCCAUUUUGGCCGGCGGCUUAGUGCGCCUUGAGCAGCAGGCGCCCAACUGAUGCACCAUAGCUGAUCGACAUACAUUGCCUUAGCCACCCCCUGCGCUCAGGGUGUUUGAUGAAAUGACGCUUGAGGUUGUGUAGCUGAAGAGCAGGUUCCAUCACACCAGAAAUUUGCCAGGCGAUCGUCCCCAUGGUUCAUCUGCAGACUCCCUCUGUAAUAGGAUAUCUUGUUUCCAGUUUCUACACAAGAUCCUCCCAGAGUGGAAAAGCUCAAUGGAAUUCUACACUGUUUAUAGGAGACUAGAUGGUUGAGUUGACCAUUAUGCCUCCGCUGGAGCAAUGCUUUGGAUAUUGCCGGGUGUUACGAUUGUUUUUUUACAACUUCAUCAUUUAUGCCCCGUCAGUCACAAUAGGAGCUGCCAAUACAUUUAUUACGGUCAGUAGUAUCGGCAAUGGAAGGCAAUUUAGUAGAAGAAGAUCCAAACGGUCGUGCUUUUAUGUGUGGCUCAUUAAUAAUCAUGUGGCAUGCCUUAAUGCCUUUGAAGCACCAAAGAUGAGGGAGAAUCCCGCGAAGACCUCUAGUGGAGGCAGAGCGUCUUCUUGAGUACUAAUUCUUGCUGGUAGAACUUGCACUGCAGAUCAUCACUCAUGUACAUGUUCCAUGGAGCUAUUAACAACCUGCCACGUGGGAAAACAAAUUCAGACAGACAUGAUCGAUUGGUUCCCUUAUACUCCCUCUGUAAAGAAAUAUAAGAGCGUUUAGAUCACUAAAACUUUACGGAGGGAGUAAUAUAUAGUCUGGAUAAAUGUUAGAGGGCCAACAUAGAAGGCAGAAGGGUACUCGGCAAGAUUUUGAGUAUAAAUUAGAAGUAGCACAGAAGUUGAAACCUACUAAUAGUCAUACCUCAUACGUAGCUGUAUAAAUUCAUCACCUUGUUCCUGUAAAUGUAGCUUAAUCACAUUGUUACAAAUACAGUGUGGUGUUUA